RNAcentral lists this ribosomal RNA (2923 nucleotides) under Klebsiella pneumoniae. Its description in RNAcentral is "bacterial LSU rRNA". It matches the Rfam family "Bacterial large subunit ribosomal RNA". The record is from RNAcentral. Lineage: Bacteria; Pseudomonadati; Pseudomonadota; Gammaproteobacteria; Enterobacterales; Enterobacteriaceae.
GGGUUGUGAGGUUAAGCGACUAAGCGUACACGGUGGAUGCCCUGGCAGUCAGAGGCGAUGAAGGACGUGCUAAUCUGCGAAAAGCGUCGGUAAGGUGAUAUGAACCGUUACAGCCGGCGAUGUCCGAAUGGGGAAACCCAGUGCAAUUCGUUGCACUAUCGUUAACUGAAUACAUAGGUUAACGAGGCGAACCGGGGGAACUGAAACAUCUAAGUACCCCGAGGAAAAGAAAUCAACCGAGAUUCCCCCAGUAGCGGCGAGCGAACGGGGAGCAGCCCAGAGUCUGAAUCAGCUUGUGUGUUAGUGGAACGGUCUGGAAAGUCCGACGGUACAGGGUGAUAGUCCCGUACACCAAAAUGCACAGGCUGUGAACUCGAAGAGUAGGGCGGGACACGUGGUAUCCUGUCUGAAUAUGGGGGGACCAUCCUCCAAGGCUAAAUACUCCUGACUGACCGAUAGUGAACCAGUACCGUGAGGGAAAGGCGAAAAGAACCCCGGCGAGGGGAGUGAAAAAGAACCUGAAACCGUGUACGUACAAGCAGUGGGAGCACCUUCGGGUGUGACUGCGUACCUUUUGUAUAAUGGGUCAGCGACUUAUAUUCUGUAGCAAGGUUAACCGUAUAGGGGAGCCGCAGGGAAACCGAGUCUUAACUGGGCGUUAAGUUGCAGGGUAUAGACCCGAAACCCGGUGAUCUAGCCAUGGGCAGGUUGAAGGUUGGGUAACACUAACUGGAGGACCGAACCGACUAAUGUUGAAAAAUUAGCGGAUGACUUGUGGCUGGGGGUGAAAGGCCAAUCAAACCGGGAGAUAGCUGGUUCUCCCCGAAAGCUAUUUAGGUAGCGCCUCGUGAACUCAUCUUCGGGGGUAGAGCACUGUUUCGGCUAGGGGGUCAUCCCGACUUACCAACCCGAUGCAAACUACGAAUACCGAAGAAUGUUAUCACGGGAGACACACGGCGGGUGCUAACGUCCGUCGUGAAGAGGGAAACAACCCAGACCGCCAGCUAAGGUCCCAAAGUCAUGGUUAAGUGGGAAACGAUGUGGGAAGGCACAGACAGCCAGGAUGUUGGCUUAGAAGCAGCCAUCAUUUAAAGAAAGCGUAAUAGCUCACUGGUCGAGUCGGCCUGCGCGGAAGAUGUAACGGGGCUAAACCAUGCACCGAAGCUGCGGCAGCGACACUAUGUGUUGUUGGGUAGGGGAGCGUUCUGUAAGCCUGCGAAGGUGACCUGUGAGGGUUGCUGGAGGUAUCAGAAGUGCGAAUGCUGACAUAAGUAACGAUAAAGCGGGUGAAAAGCCCGCUCGCCGGAAGACCAAGGGUUCCUGUCCAACGUUAAUCGGGGCAGGGUGAGUCGACCCCUAAGGCGAGGCCGAAAGGCGUAGUCGAUGGGAAACAGGUUAAUAUUCCUGUACUUGGUGUUACUGCGAAGGGGGGACGGAGAAGGCUAUGUUAGCCGGGCGACGGUUGUCCCGGUUUAAGCAUGUAGGCUGGUUAUCCAGGCAAAUCCGGAUAAUCAAGGCUGAGGUGUGAUGACGAGGCACUACGGUGCUGAAGUAACAAAUGCCCUGCUUCCAGGAAAAGCCUCUAAGCAUCAGGUAACAUUAAAUCGUACCCCAAACCGACACAGGUGGUCAGGUAGAGAAUACCAAGGCGCUUGAGAGAACUCGGGUGAAGGAACUAGGCAAAAUGGUGCCGUAACUUCGGGAGAAGGCACGCUGGUGUGUAGGUGAAGUCCCUGCGGAUGGAGCUGAGACCAGUCGAAGAUACCAGCUGGCUGCAACUGUUUAUUAAAAACACAGCACUGUGCAAACACGAAAGUGGACGUAUACGGUGUGACGCCUGCCCGGUGCCGGAAGGUUAAUUGAUGGGGUUAUCCGUAAGGAGAAGCUCUUGAUCGAAGCCCCGGUAAACGGCGGCCGUAACUAUAACGGUCCUAAGGUAGCGAAAUUCCUUGUCGGGUAAGUUCCGACCUGCACGAAUGGCGUAAUGAUGGCCAGGCUGUCUCCACCCGAGACUCAGUGAAAUUGAACUCGCUGUGAAGAUGCAGUGUACCCGCGGCAAGACGGAAAGACCCCGUGAACCUUUACUAUAGCUUGACACUGAACAUUGAGCCUUGAUGUGUAGGAUAGGUGGGAGGCUUUGAAGCGUGGACGCCAGUCUGCGUGGAGCCAACCUUGAAAUACCACCCUUUAAUGUUUGAUGUUCUAACGUUGGCCCCUUACCGGGGUUGCGGACAGUGUCUGGUGGGUAGUUUGACUGGGGCGGUCUCCUCCCAAAGCGUAACGGAGGAGCACGAAGGUUAGCUAAUCCUGGUCGGACAUCAGGAGGUUAGUGCAAUGGCAUAAGCUAGCUUGACUGCGAGCGUGACGGCGCGAGCAGGUGCGAAAGCAGGUCAUAGUGAUCCGGUGGUUCUGAAUGGAAGGGCCAUCGCUCAACGGAUAAAAGGUACUCCGGGGAUAACAGGCUGAUACCGCCCAAGAGUUCAUAUCGACGGCGGUGUUUGGCACCUCGAUGUCGGCUCAUCACAUCCUGGGGCUGAAGUAGGUCCCAAGGGUAUGGCUGUUCGCCAUUUAAAGUGGUACGCGAGCUGGGUUUAGAACGUCGUGAGACAGUUCGGUCCCUAUCUGCCGUGGGCGCUGGAGAAUUGAGGGGGGCUGCUCCUAGUACGAGAGGACCGGAGUGGACGCAUCACUGGUGUUCGGGUUGUCAUGCCAAUGGCACUGCCCGGUAGCUAAAUGCGGAAGAGAUAAGUGCUGAAAGCAUCUAAGCACGAAACUUGCCCCGAGAUGAGUUCUCCCUGAGACUUUAAGUCUCCUGAAGGAACGUUAAAGACGAUGACGUUGAUAGGCCGGGUGUGUAAGCGCAGCGAUGCGUUGAGCUAACCGGUACUAAUGAACCGUGAGGCUUAACCUUACAACGCCGAAG